UGGGGAAUAUUGGACAAUGGGCGCAAGCCUGAUCCAGCCAUGCCGCGUGAGUGAUGAAGGCCUUCGGGUUGUAAAGCUCUUUUGUCAGGGAAGAUGAUGACGGUACCUGAAGAAUAAGCCCCGGCUAACUUCGUGCCAGCAGCCGCGGUAAUACGAAGGGGGCUAGCGUUGUUCGGAAUUACUGGGCGUAAAGGGCGCGUAGGCGGCUCGACAAGUCAGAAGUGAAAUCCCUGGGCUCAACCCAGGAAUUGCUUUUGAGACUGCCGGGCUUGAGUACAGGAGAGGUGAGUGGAAUUCCCAGUGUAGAGGUAAAAUUCGUAGAUAUUGGGAGGAACACCAGUGGCGAAGGCGGCUCACUGGCCUGUAACUGACGCUGAGGCGCGAAAGCGUGGGGAGCAAACAG
This 403-nucleotide ribosomal RNA is filed under the name uncultured bacterium. RNAcentral's name for it is "bacterial SSU rRNA". It matches the Rfam family "Bacterial small subunit ribosomal RNA", at positions 355 to 775 of the family's 1533-position model. The record is from RNAcentral.